Molecule: ribosomal RNA, 929 nt
Filed under: uncultured bacterium
Lineage: Bacteria
Description: bacterial SSU rRNA
Rfam family: Bacterial small subunit ribosomal RNA
Source: RNAcentral
UAGAGUUUGAUCCUGGCUCAGCCUGAACGCUGGCGGCGUGGUUAAGACAUGCAAGUCGCACGGAUGUAGCAAUACAUCAGUGGCGCAAGGGUGAGUAAUGUAUCGCUAACGUACCCCGGACGCUGGGAUAGCUGCCCGAAAGGGCAGGUAAUACCAAUAAUAUAUCCAAACCGCAUGGUUAUGGAUCUCAAAGGUCCGCCGGUCUGGGCGCGGGCGAUAUCGUAUCAGCUAGUUGGUGAGGUAACGGCUCACCAAGGCGACGACGCGUAGCCGGACUGAGAGGUCGGUCGGCCACAUCGGGACUGAGACACUGCCCGGACUCCUACGGGGGGCUGCAGUAACGAAUCUUCCCCAAUGGGCGCAAGCCUGAGGGAGCGACGCCGCGUGGAGGAUGAAGUCCUUCGGGAUGUAAACUCCUGUCAGGGGUUACCAAGUUCUGAGGAGCCCCAGAGGAAGAGGCGGCUAACUCUGUGCCAGCAGCCGCGGUAAGACAGAGGCCUCAAGCGUUAGGCGGAAUCACUGGGCUUAAAGCGUGUGUAGGCGGAUCGUUAAGUGCCUUGUGAAAUCCCACGCUUAACUGUGGAACGGCUGGGCAUACUGGCGGUCUUGAGCCAUCUAGGGGCUACUGGAACAAACGGUGGAGCGGUGAAAUGCGUAGAUAUCGUUUGGAACGCCAAUGGUGAAAACAGGUAGCUGGGGAUGAGCUGACGCUGAGACACGAAAGCCAGGGGAGCAAACGGGAUUAGAUACCCCGGUAGUCCUGGCCCUAAACGAUGUCCACUAGAUCGCNNNNCUCUGACGGUUUUGCGGUCGAAGCAAAAGUGCUAAGUGGACCGCCUGGGAAGUACGGUCGCAAGGNUAAAACUCAAANGAAUUGACGGGGGCUCACACAAGCNGNGGANCAUGNNGNUCANUUCNAAGCNNCGCGC